UAACCUACCUAUAAGACUGGGAUAACUUCGGGAAACCGGAGCUAAUACCGGAUAACAUAUUGAACCUCAUGGUUCAAUAGUGAAAGGCGGCUUUGCUGUCACUUAUAGAUGGAUCCGCGCCGUAUUAGCUAGUUGGUAAGGUAACGGCUUACCAAGGCAACGAUACGUAGCCGACCUGAGAGGGUGAUCGGCCACACUGGAACUGAGACA
This 210-nucleotide ribosomal RNA is filed under the name Staphylococcus warneri. Its description in RNAcentral is "partial 16S ribosomal RNA". It matches the Rfam family "Bacterial small subunit ribosomal RNA", at positions 122 to 326 of the family's 1533-position model. Lineage: Bacteria; Bacillati; Bacillota; Bacilli; Caryophanales; Staphylococcaceae. The record is from RNAcentral.